Molecule: non-coding RNA, 112 nt
Organism: Acanthosepion pharaonis
Lineage: Eukaryota; Metazoa; Mollusca; Cephalopoda; Sepiida; Sepiidae
Source: the annotation of a GenBank genome assembly
AUGACCAUAUCACAUUAAAACACCGGUUCUCAUAUGAUCACCAAAGUUAAGUGUUAUUAGGCCAGGCCAGUAUCUAUAUAGGUGACUGCUUGGGAAUACCAUGUGCGGUAAG